This is a long non-coding RNA of Sapajus apella (tufted capuchin), 102 nucleotides long. RefSeq lists it as uncharacterized. The record is from RefSeq and is a predicted model, not a curated record. NCBI's taxonomy places the organism in Eukaryota, Metazoa, Chordata, Mammalia, Primates, Cebidae. The transcript has 4 exons.
UACAUCUUACUUGCAUGGUGGUAGACCGAGAGCUUGUGCAGAGACUCCCGUUUCUCAAAACCAUCAGAUCUCAUGAGACUUAUGCACUAUCAUGAUAACAGC